UGUGGGGGAGGGGGGCUAACGGCUGUGCUGGGUUUCAGGAUCCUUUCCCUGCUGUCCACUCUGGUUCUUGAUCCCCGCAGAACAGUCUAGGCCUUUUCCUAUCUCAGCCUUCCCUUCUCUUUGCUUUUUACCCCAGCCCUCCUCCAGCCGCCCUGCCCUCUUUUCAGAACAAGUUCCUCUUUUUUUUUUAAUAUACGCUGACUACAAAACUCUUGCUUCCAACCUCGAAGGUUAACUUCUGUAAAUGUUUUUCUAAAUGGCACUGUUGCCUAGCAACUAUGUUAGAUAAAGAAUUUCCAUGAGGGCGAACAUGUUGGGUGUUGGCCAAGAGCAGGCAGCUGAAGGCGGCACCUCAGGCCUCCUGGCCUCCACCCAAUUCAUUCAAGGAGAAAAUGGGGAUCUGGUGCAAGUUAAAAGUAAUGGGGGCUUAAGGACAGCAAAAGUUGCGUUUGGAAAUUCGCUCAAAAGCCUGAGAGGAAGAACAGGCUGAGGCUUCUCUGGGCCCAGGGGGGCCACAGUAAGAGCCGGCGAGGGGGCUCCCCUUACAGAAGGGUUUGGUCGGUAACCACCACCUCUUCCGCCCCGUCAGCUGCCCUUGGUUUGUCUUCCUGACCCUGGACAUGAAGGGACGCGUAGGACCCAUUGUGUCAAAGUUCGCCGGCUGUCACUAAGUGUCUGGAGGAAACCUUAAGCUCUGGUCUGUUUUGUAUUGUGUGGUGCUGACAGUAAAUGAGAUGCAAAACAGGCUUACAGAUACUCGUAUGUUUCAAGGGUUCAUAUUUAAUUCAAAAUGCACCCCUGCCGCCUGGGAGUGGGCAGAGGAAGGCAGUAAAUUAACAAAAAGUAAAAAGAUGCAAAGGUGUAUGUCUCUGGGAGUGUAGCCUUGACCUUGGACUUGUGGGCGUCCUCUGGGCCACCUUCUGGCCUGCUGGGUCAGACACUGCUUGCUCCGUGCCGCCUUUCCUCUUUCAAAUACCUCUUUCUUAGCUGAGUUCUUGUGUAUAAAAAAGGCUCAUCAUGGGGCGUACAAAUAAAAUUGAGAGAAACUAAAAUCAGUAAUUUUCUGUUACUGGUAUAUUUGCUUCUAGAAUGUUUUUUCUCUUCCUAUGCGUAGGAUACAAAUGUUAAUUAUUUUUUUUUUACAAAAAAGGGAUUAUGCUAUAAAUGUCCUUGCAACUCCUUACACUUGGUAUAUAGUGAACAUCUUUUCCUGGCAUUUGAAAUAUCUUUUGCGGUGACAUAAUCUAUCAUAUGGCUCUGUCAACUUAAACAAAUUUAGAUGACAAGUUAUAUUCCAGUUGUGUCUUCCUCUUAUGAAGUAAAGCUUUGAUGACCCUCCCGGUAGCUCCCCCUUGAUCGCAUCUGGUGGUAUUUGUUCGGGGAAUAUGAGCAUAUGAACUGCGUAUGUCGAACUUAAGACUUUAGGAGCAUUCAUGGUGCUAAAUAGCCUUCCCAGGAGAGAUAGUCUAAAUUAGUGUUCUUAUCAUUGAGGCAAACCUGGCUCUGGCUUCCCUUUCCUACGGUCUUCCAAGGUAUUACUAUAUUAAAAACCUUAAAUCUUUACUGCUAUUGAGACAACAUCGAUGGAUUGGCCAUUUGCAGUGGGGUGUGUGUGUGUGUGUGUGUGACUUGGACUUACCUAAUCGCUCAUUUUCCCCUUGGUUGUUUUGUAGAAACAUAUUACGGAGAUUAAUAACCUAUGUUCAAUGUAAAUACUUUUCCCAGUUUUUAGAUUACCUCUAACCUAAAGGUAAAUGUGUGUUUCAGACAUUGAAAGAGUGGCACCAUUUUUCUGAGGCCCUCACCCUACAGUUUCUGCACUUGGUGUUGUGUUUAGAUCUCUCACCCCAAAAGUAUAUAAAUAUUCAUCUGGGUUUUCUUGUGACGCUUAUGGCUUAAUGUUUUACACCUAAACGUGUACUACAACCGGGGUUUAUUGUGCAGCCGACGGGAGGGAAAGGGGCCGAUGCCCUCCCGGAGCCCCAGAGCUUGCUCCCCUCCUGGUGUCCCCCCUCCUUGUGACUACGAAUUGAGUGGCAGAGUCGAGGGGUGUUGUCACAAUGGGACAGCUCACUGGAGAAGCCCUUGGGGACAGGCAGGCAUCCUCUCCCAGUGGGGGCCUCUGUGACUCCCCAAUUACUCCAUGUGUCCAUCCUCUGGGGGCGAGUGUCCGAAGCAGGUGCGGAAGGAUGAAGCUUUACUGAGGAGAGCCCGAGCGAGUUACUGAGCCCCACCCCCCAGCCGGUUUCCCUCCUCGGGGACCAGAGGCGAUGAGCGUACGUAUGGGGCACACAGCUACUCCUGAUCCGGUGCUUGCGGUGCCGCCGUCCUCUCCUUUGCCUAGCCUCCCAUCCAGCCCCUGCCCCUGGUUCCCCCUCCCUGCCCUUGGCACCUGCCCGCCUGGCUCUGAGCCUUUGGUGACAAUUGGUGUGCACAUUCUGGUCUGCUCUGGUUUUGCAUUUUAGUUUCCCUUUGUUUGCAUUUCCCUGUAGCAAUGGAGUCACCUGCACAUUGGGCAUGGCUUUCUCUCAGGGCUGUUCAUUCCUCCCCAGGAAUGCUUUGGAUGGGCCUAGAGGUCUUCUCCGAAUGUCAGAAACUGUGUGCAGAUGAUUGUGUGUGUGUGAAAAGCAUAAGCUUGCCAAAGAGGUCUGUGACCUCUAAAACUGAUCCAAUGAAAAGCUGCAUUCUUGUAUCCCAUGGUGCUUAUACUGUAGGAUGUUUAGUCCGUCUCUUGAGUUGUAAGCAGAGCCUUGAUUAUUUUAGACUGCCUGCCAUGGGCGUCCGUGAAGGUGGCGCGGGCACGUGCUCCCCACGUGGCCUGGCCCGGUCGGUGAGUGCCCUGUUUUGCAGACUCGGAUGCUCUCCGGAGAGCUUACGCUUCCUCUUGUGAGCAGAUCUAUUUCCCUACAUGGUUGGUAACAUCAAGAUAUUUUCCAUUUUUCUUAUUUUCGAUUGUGGUAAAAUACACAUAACAUAAAACUUAUCUUCUUCAUCAUUUUUAAGUGUACAGUUCAGUAGGGUUAAAUAUAUUGUAGUACAACCAAUUUCUGGAACGUUUUCAUCCAGGAAAACUGAAAUUCCAGACCUGCCAAACUCCCUAUUCCCUUCUUCCUUCCUCCCUCCCUCUCCUGGCAACCCGAGUCUCUGUCUCUGGGAGUUUGACCUUUCUAGGUAGCUCGCGUUAGACUCGUGAGGUACUUGUCUUUUUUGCGAUUGGCUUAUUUUAACUUUGGCAUCGUAUCCUCAGGGUUCAUCUGUGUUAUAACGUGUGUCAAAAUCUUCCUUUUUAAAAGAGCUGAAACGGGCACCUGGCUGGCUCAGUCGGUGGAGCGUGCAACUUUUGCUAUCAGGUUUAGGAGUUUGAGCCCCACGCUGGGUGUAGAGAUUACUUUAAAAAAAAAUAAAAGAGCUGAAAUGUUCCAUCCUAUGUAUGUAACACAUUUGUGUAUCGCCUGUCAGUUAACACCUGGGUGGCUCCCACCAUGUUUUGGCUGUUGUGAGCGAUGCUGGUGGGAACAUGGGUGUGCAAAUAACCCUUUGAAGCCCUGCUUUCAUUUUUUUCGGAGAUAACACUCAGCGGUGGGGUUGCUGGGUCAUAUAGUAAUUCUACUUUUACGUUCUUGAAGAAAUUUCAUACAGUUUUCCACGUGGUCCCCAACACUUGCUAUUUUCUGUUGUUUUAAAUAGCACCCAUCCUAUUGGGUGCGAGGUAAGGUCUCACUGUGGCUUUGGUUUGCAUUUGCCUAAAAGUCCGUGACAUUGAUAAGAUUGUUGGCCAUUUGUAUGUCUUGUUGGGGGCAAUAUCUUUUCAAGUCUUUUGCCCAUUUUAAAAACUAGGCUAUUUUUAAUCAUUAUUGAUUUGUAGUUCUUAAAGUAUAUUCUGGGUAAUAACCCUGUAUCAGAUAUAUCUUAGGAGGAUUUUCUUCCCUGGUGUGGGCUGCGUUUUCAGUAUAUUGAUUAUAUCCUUUGAUGCCCAGAAGGUUCUCAUUCGCAUGAGUCCAGUGUAUCUGUUUUUGCCUUGGUUACCUGUGCUUUUGGUGCCAUGUCCAAGAAGUCAUUGCCAAGUCCAGUGUCGUGAAGUAUUUGUUGCUACCUUUAGAAGCACUUUGGUAGUCUUAAUCCGUGUUUUUGAACUUACUGGGUAGCACGUUUUACCGUUUGACUUACCGUCUGCCUUUUACCUCUUUACCCUUACCGUAUGAAAUUCCAUGUUGAGUUCUAUGAUGAUCGUAAAUUCUUUGUUCAGUUCAGAAGGUAAGCUUUUGCCAGUUCUGAGUGUCAAGCUUACUCCAUUUUUCUCCCCUCUGUUGGUGCAAAAAAUAUCACACAAGGACUUUUAAAACAUCCGUCUACCAAGUCUAACAGUAACAAGUAAGUUAGUUGGUUUUGCUUCUGAUUGCAUUUUCUUUAGUAGCUAAACUGUUUAAGGAGUUAUGAAUCCAACUUAGCAAUGGAUCUAAAUUGAUUAAUUAUACUGAUAAAGUUGGAAUGUCAAACUUCUACUGAGUGGGUCCCGGCUUUGCCCCAGGUCACUGUCAGUGUCUUGUCAUUAACUGUCCAUCUGAAUCCUUUUCUGGAAUUUUUAGCCUCUAGUUUCUGUUGUUUCUAGUCAAAUGCAGCAAAGUUUAAUGACUGUCACUGUUAACUAUGUGUGAAAACCUGGUAAGUGGAGGCUGUGUUACUCCUCUUAAGACAAGAAUAUUCUCCCCUUGUUCGAACUUGAGUACACGAAACUGGACUAAUCUUUGGUUCAUGACAUAACAUGGCUCUCUUUUUUAUUUGCUUCCUUGAUGUUUCUAAGACUGUGGUAAGCAUUUCUGAGUCUAUGCUCUUAAUAUAAAAACUAGGACAGUAGACAGUAGCUUCUUCAACCUGUGUGGUCCUCUUUUCUCCCUGCCUCCUUCUAGGCCAGCGUAAUCACCAUCCUGAAUACUGGGUCUCUCUUUACUCGCUUUCUUUGCGUGUAACUUUUAUACAUUUGUUACUUAAGUGUAUUUUUAAGGAAGCUCCAGGCAUUCACAGCCCCUCCGGACAGCACCGCACAGCAGCUCUACCUAUGUCCGUGGGUCUGGGACUCUCCAUCUUGCGAGGUGGGUUGAGAGUUUCUGCAGCCGAAGGAGAAGAAUGUGCUAAGGAGUUGAGUUACAUCUGAUCAGUCUCUAAAAAACUGCUGUCUGAACCAGAACUGAGCAUCAGAUAGUGUCUGACCUAUUUAGACCUCACAAGACUCUGCGUCUACUUCUGGCGUUCUUUCCUCUAAGGAGGUUGAAAAACAAAUGCUUCUAGGACAGCAGUUGUGACAUUUGCCAAAAGUGGUGUUUAGUUAUAUCUUAUUUGUUUGGUCGGUUGGAAUCUUCUCACCUGGCAUCUGGGUUCUCCUUUACGUGCUUCCCCUCAGUGGCCCCCCAGGCCCAGGGGCACAGGCGUGAGCUCUGCUCUGUCUCUUACUCUCCUAAUAGGGUCCUGGGGAGCUUGACGCUGGGAACCACGAGGCCCAGGAUCUAUCCCCGCAGCCUGAUUCUUGCCCCCUUAGCCUCUGGGGUAAUUGUACCCUGUCCCCCGACUCCUGUGUCGAUGUAACAGCUGUGUGACCGGCUGUCUGUGUGUCAGCCAGGCCUGCCUCUGCCUCCUGCUCACCCCGCUGGCUUUCUUCCCGUUUGUUUCAAGGUGUAGAAAAUGUUCGAAGUAAUAUGCGCACGUGUUAAAAAUUCAAACAUCUUUCUCUAGCCUCCAGCCUCCCUUCCCACAGAGGCAGCAGUCAUGGCCAGCUGGCUUGAGUUUCCUUCCAGAUAAUCCGGCGCGCGUACUCCCCUACGGAGUCCUGGUAUACCGCGCACCCCCCUCGCACUUUGGACCCUUGGGUUAACAGUGCGUCUCGGAGCUCACUGCGUAUCUUUUUAUGGCCUACCUUGGGCUUCUCGAAAUGUAUCCAUGUGGUAGUCCGUGUUUGAAUUAGCCAUCUUCCCUUGUGAGGAGCAAUUAGAUGAUUUCUCACAAUUCUUACCACGUAUGAAGCUAUACGGAGUUGUGUGUCAGGCUAUGCUGAGUAUCAGUCUGUGUGUUUUUGUGCAUGUGGGCAACUGUGCCUUUGGGGGAAGCUCUCUGGGUCAUGGUCUGUGUGUCUUUCUGAAUAUGACGGGCACGGCCAGCCUACGUGCUCUGUAGUCACGUUCCAUUUGACAUUUCCCGGCACUUUACCAGUGCGUGUUCUUAAACUUGGUUGUCAGUGUGAGAAGUAAAAAUAGCAUUUCACGGUAGCUUUGAGUUCUAUUGCUACUGGGCUGGGGACUUACAGAUUUUCAAGAGAUUUUUAUAUAGUGAAGAAAUUAGCCCUUUGUCACUGAUGCCACAAUACUUUCCUGUUUGUCGUUGAUCUCGAGUGCUAAAAUGUUGCUGUUCAGAUGUAACAUGUAAUGUACCAUAUGUAAAUGUAAUGUAAAUAUACUUAUGUGUCGAUGUUUUCUUUUGUGGCUUCCAGGUUUUAUGGCUCAGGCUGUGAAGCCCCCCGCCCCCCGACCUUCCCCCACCCGGUGCCAGCAGCAGCAGGGGGGCCCUGCAGCCCGGCCUUGGGCCUUGGCCAUUUGGGUUUUAUCUUUACUGACUGGAAGGCAAACACCAGUGUCGCCCUGGACAAAAAGUUUCCGCUUGUUGAUUCUGUGCAGGUGAAUGAACACUGUUGGCUGACGGAUGUGGCUGCUCGUGCUUCAGUGAUGUUUUCACCUCCUGAGAACCCUUUACCUGAGGACAUUAACCUCGAAUAUUCCAGAACACUGUUCAAGUUUGUGUUUGCCUUUUGUUUCCCUUGUUUUUUAGGUUGAUGCACAAUGUUGCGGUGGCUUCAAACUGUAAUUUGCCUUUUAAAUUUACUUGUUGGGUGUUGCCAAGGGUUUUAAGCUAAGUCAAGUCCAUUAUUUUCAUCAUGGUUUCAUACUUUGAUGUCUGCUCUGGUUCUCACUGGCUUCCUGGGGCUUUCAUUUUUGACAUUUGACAUAACUCUUUAAUCGACUUAGAAGCUGGGUUGGUGUGUGUGCUGCAUGAGGUAAGAAUCCAGUUAAUUCAAGAUGGUCAACCAAUUUGCCCGGAGCUGCUCCCUGAUUGAUGCUUUUUCUCUACUGAUCCGAAACUGGUUAGUUAUGUACUAAGUACUUUUAAUAUAAUUGAGUCUGUUUCUGAACUUUCUAGUCUGUUCCGCCGAUCUGUCUUUCCUCUGCCGGUCAGUCCAGUGUUUUCAUUAUGUUAGCUUUAUCACAUCUGAUGGUAAAAUGUGGUCCUUCAAAGCCGUGGCAUUCUUUUAAGGUAUUCUGAUUUUUACUGGAAUUGCAUUAUGUUUAUCGAAAUGCUGACAUUGCGACUUUCCAUUUAGGAAUGAGCCCAUCGCCUCCCGUUUGUUUAGGAUCAGAUGAUUUUCAUUCUCAGAAAUUUUAGACCUCUCUUGUACAAGUUAUGGACCUUUGUGAAGUUUGCUCCUAGAUAUGUGAUAUUUUGUGUUGUGAUUAGAUAUAUUUUUCUAUUAAAAUUCCCGAGUAUGGUAGUAUAUGAUAAGACUUGUUUUAUAGAUGUACAUUAUUUUGAAAAUAAAUAGGCUGAUUAUGAAGGCCAGGUGGAGGAUAAUAUAGUCUCCGGGCUAAAAGGGCAUGCUUUUGAGUCCGAUGACCCUGCUCUCAUGUUUGACUAGUCCUUUAUUUAUUUUCUAUGCGACCAGCUCUUUGCCUCAGUUUCUCCAUUUGUAAGAAGGGAGAAUAUAUUAUCUAUAAGAAUUGGGAUGAGAGUUUAAUGAAAUAAAUAGGCCUUGUGCUCAGUGCUCGCUGACGCAGAGUAGCACUGCUCUACCGGACUUUCAAAGCAAGCGUCAUCUUGAAUGCUUCCGUCAUCCGUGUGGUUUAUUCCAUUUCUCAUGCUUCUCUCCCGUCUUGCUGGCGCUGGCUGUAAUCACUAAUGAGCUGUGAGCAUCAUGGUCUUGCUCCCACCCCGUCUGCUGGCGGGUCUGUCGGCAGCUAGAGAAGGGGCGGCCUGGCUCUGGGGUGCACACGAGCCCCCAGCAGCACACGUCAGGUUCCCACUGGGUGUCCGUCCUCCUGAUGGCCCUCAGUUGGAGUGAUCUGCUGAUAGACAGCCUAAAACUUUAAUAUUCACAGAUUUGUUUUACCAUAUAUUUGAAAAUGGCUGGUUUGCUAUUUAUGGUGGUAAUACAUUUCCUUUUAAAAGGAAUUUUAGUUUUUCUCUUCUUAAUUGAACUAUCCCUCAAGAUAAGACAAGAGUCAUAUUGUCGAAGUGCACAAUCCAGUGGGUUUUACUAUGUUCACUGUGUUGCGCCACCAUCACUAUUAUCCCAUUUCCAGGCCUUUUCAUUUUCCCAAAAAGAAGCCUGCCACCCAUAAAACAAUAACCUCCCUCCCUCCUCCCGGUUCCCUUCCCCCCUCCUGCAUUUUCAUUAUUGUAACUGAUCAGAGUCUGUUUGCAAUAGAUGUGAAGGUGAAGACUACGAGGGGCGCUGAUUUGACGGAGGCUCGGGACGGGCAAGAACUCGGCAGGAGCAGCUUCUGCUGCAGAACUUGCUUGGUUGGUGUUCCUCCUCCUGGUUCCUAAUAACUGUACUUUCUGUCUCUACGAAUUUGCCUGUUCUAGGUUCCUCGCAUGAACGGAAUCGCACAUUUGUCCUUUGUGUCUGUCUUAUUUCAGUUAGCACAGCGCCUGCAAGUUUCAUUCACGUUGCCGCAUGUAACAAUAUGUCUUCCCUUUGUGAGGCUGCGUGCUGUCUGGUGCUGUGGCUGCACCACAUUUUGUCUCUCCCGUCAUCAGUUGGACAUUGGGGUUGUUUUCGCGCAUUUGGCUAUUAUGAAUAAUGCUCCUAUUCACUUUUUAUGUGAAUUUUUUUUUACAUGGUCUUUAGUGUUUGCCUUGCAGGGGAAGUGCGGUGUCAGCUAACUCUGUGCUUAACUUUUUGAGGAUCCGCCAAACUGCCUCCCAAUGUGGCUGCGCCAUUUUACAUUCCCGCCGUUAAUUGAUGAAGUUUCCAAUUUUUCUACACCCUCAACCCUUGUUCUUAUUUGGCUCUGUGUGUGUGUGUGUGGUUUAUAUAAGCUCUAUACCCAGUGUGGGAUUUGAACUCACAACCCCGAGUCGCAUGCUCAUCCACACAAACAGCCAGGCACCUCUCCCUCUGGCUUUUUGAUCAUAGGCAUCCCAAUGGGUGUGAAGUGGUGUCUCCUGUGAUUUUGAUUUGCAUCUCUCAUGACUGAUGAUGUCCAGCACCUUUUCAUACGCCUGUUGGCCACGUCUAGAUCCUCUCUAGAGAACUGUCUAUUCUGACCCUUUGUCCCCUCUUCAAUCGAGUGUUCACCUUUUCAUUAUUGAAUUUUAAGAGUUCGCUGUAUAUUCUGGAUACUGGACCCUUAUCACGUUUUUCCCUUCUUGGGGUCACAUUUCCACUUUCUUGGUAGUGUUCUUUGACAUAAAAUGAAUUUAUAUUUUAAAAAUAACUUGAUUGGGGGGGAACUAGGACUGGCUAUACUCAGAUGUCGCAAAAAAUGUCCAGCUGUCAUGUGAAUGAUUAAGGUUUGGGGGCAGAGGAAAGAGGGUUCCGAUCCUGUGAUGGGAAGUGGGUGGGCACCCUUCCUGUGCGAGGUCAGUGGGCGCCGCCUGGUGCAUGUGCCGGGGUCAGCUCGUCAGCGGGCUUGAGGUGCUUAGGAGGUUUGGUUUCUUAGGUCCAGUAAUGGAUCCCGGAUUUAUUCAGAUGUCUCUCAUACAUCUUCUUCCUCCCCCGAGCAUCGAGUUUUUCUCCCUUCAUUCUCUUGUAAUUAAUGACAUCAUGGAAUAUUCCAGCCUCCUGUGAUUUCCGAAACACCGUGCCCAGGCCCGGAGCUGUUUUCUGCCAACACAGAAAUGAAUCAGGGGGUCUGCUUCUAACCUCAGGGCGCCGUCAGGCCGGUUUUGGUAUCGGGACCUCAGAAAAGGCAGAGAACAGCGGCUAAGAGCAGAGCUUUGGGCUGGACAACUGCAUUUCUAGUCCCUGCUUUGCCACCCAUCAGCGCGUGACAUUGGCCCCUUUUCUAAAAUCCUUGAAGCCACUCUCCUUGAUAAAAGGGGGACAGAACUAAAGUUAGAACAUAACUCGUGGUUUGUGUGAGGCUGAGCGAGGGGUCGCACGGCCCAGGUCCUGGGAGCGAGGGGCGCUGCCGUGUCCUGUCCGUCAGGCUCCCGCCUGGGUACAGAGGACCGAGCACAGAGUCCUGUACCGCCGCCCGAGCUGCCACUCUGGAGAUUCCGUGUUCUUUGCAAACUUCCAGUUUCCUUCCGAGUUUCCGAGUCCGUAUUUCUAUUUCAUCGUAAGUCAAUUUUUUUAAAUUAAGUUUUCUAAGAAAAUUUCCGUUUUAAAUAUAUAUUAGUGUAGAGCAUUUUUUAUUUGCAUUUUAAUAUCCUUGUCAAUGGUUUUCAGGAGUGGGAGUAAAAAUUGUUUUCACUUUUUAUUCCUAGUUUAUCUUUAACAGACUUUCAAGAAAUCUACUUUUUUGGCUUUUUCAAAGAAGCAGCUUUAAGUAGAAAACGCAAUUCUGCUUUAAUAUUGUAAUUUAUUAACUUCUGCUUUUAUUUCAUUAAUUCUCCUGCUCUCCUUGGAUGUUGUUUUGUUCCUUUUUCCACAGUCUUGCCCCGCGUGCUUAACGCGGAGGGCGGGGGAGGCAGAGCGCGGUCAGGGAGGCUGAGGCAGGAGGCGGUCCUGCUCUAGCCCCACUGUGACCACAGACAGAGCCCUCAGAUGCCGACGUGUGGACCCUCAGUCAGGGAGGGAACUGACGCCCGCCCCCCCACAUAUACGUCCGCCACCAGAGGAUGCCCGGAGGCCAGCUAGUGGCCAGGGCCCAGCGGGAGCAUGGGGGGCAUUCUGGCGAGCCGCCGUUGCUUCGGUCCACAGUUCCAGUGUCUAACGGUCACUCCGACGACCUCCUCCGUGUCCAGAUACUCAGCUGGUCUCCACAGACAUAGGCAGGUUCUGUUUUAAUGAAUGGUUACCUGAGGAAGCGCCCGGUACAAUUUCUGCCUUUUUGGAUCUGUGGCUCCCUUUCAUCACUGCCUAAGGUACGGUUAUUUUUAUAAAUGUUCCAUGGCAUUCGAGAAAGUAUGCUCUGUCACAUUCCAUAUUCUGGAUCCGUCCCUCUCCAUGGUUUUGGGCGCAGUCCAAAGCCACGCCGUCCCUAUGUAAUGCGAAGCGUGAUUACAUUUCCCCCACCACUCCUGGCUCUCCGCUGCCUCCCAGGACUGCUCCGCAGUUCUGUUCUGUGUGUUUUGCUGCAGUGUAUUUGGCAUGUGGAGAGUCCAGCCCUGCCGCGUGGAGGGCUUGGUGUUGACGGGGCAGCCGGGAACCACCCUGUCCCCACCCCACCUUACUGUCUUGGCAGGGUGAAUGAAGUACCUGGGUGUGGGAAUUUUCAACUGUUGAAUUUUGAAACCAUUUUUCCAUCUCUCGUCUGUUUCCUGCCCGUGUCACGUGUUCAUUUUACACAGUUGUGAUCAGGCGCUAUUUUGCUUCCUCCACUUCAGGCUAUGUUGUAGGCACAGUGACUCGUGCUGAAAUAAUCCGCCUGUUCUGGCUGAAUUCUCUGGGGGAUUCCGGGGUGUGAGCCUGUCAGUGUCACCUCAUGUGGGCUGGUUCCAGCAUUCUGUCACCCUAAAUGACACCGGCACAGAUGUCUUGGGGCAAAUCCUCUUUUAUACCCCCAGGCUGCUUUUGGUUUGGUCCCAGUCCCCACCGGCCGGAGGGAAGGGCCGGAAUUGCUCGGUUCUCUUCGCUCACUGCCCCGGUCCAUGUGUUCGCAAGGGGCCGGUUACACACUCCUGUUGUGCCCACGGCCCCGCCAACACAGUUCUUUCUGUUUGUGACUGUGAGUGCGGAGUGCUUCCUUGAAGCCAUUUUAAUUUUCACCGGCGUCGCGUUUUCCUGUGUAGGUGACUCUCUGAGUUUCCUGACGCAGACGCCUUGAGGGUCGUGUCACUAACGUGUUGAAUUAAUUCUUUGCUCAUCUUACAGACUGUGUUUUGACUCCCCCCAUUUCUGAGGCCUUUUAAGGUCAGAGCUUUGUUGCUUCGUCAGGUUGGGACUUAGAUGGCUAUGCACGGUUCCUCUCUCCUGCCGCAAUAAGUAAGUGCCUGUCCCUUGUGGUGUGUUUGGGGGGUGGAGCCCUGAAGAGAAGCCAGGAGGGGAGAUGGGCAGCCUAGGAGGGUGGGGGCGGUGAGGGAGAUGGGUGAAGGGGGUGGAAGCCUGGCUGUGAGCCCACCCUGUGGUCCCCAGACCUCGGUGUGUGUGUGUGUGUGUGACUGUGUGUGUGUGUGUGCGCGUGUGCGUGUGUGUGUGUGUGUGUGUGUGUGUGUGUGAGAGAGAGAGAGAGAUGUGGGACUGGCUCUGCCUGCAGAGCAUCCCUCGGGACUAGUAGGACCCGUUCUCAGCCCGAGCUGGCGUGACCCUGAACAGGACCCAGCCCCCUCUGAGCCUGCCCUUCUCCAGACCCCGCUCCUGAGCUCCUCAGGGUUGGCAGGCGGGGUCCAGUGGCCAGGACUCCCGGAGGAGGACCGCAGAGCUGGGGGUGCUCCCGCUGGACCCGCCGCAGGCCCACAGGAGGCAGAGACCGGCCUGGGAGCAGCAGGCUGGGAGGGUGGCCCCAGGGCACGUAAACUGGCCAAGGGACCAGGAUGGGCUUCCUGUUGCUCCUGUCUCUGAGGCCCUGGUGCCUGGGACCCUCCUCUCGGGGGACUCAGACACCGGGCCAGAGGCUGGUGGGGGCACUGUGCUACUGACUUCGUUUUCAGGCAGUGGCAGUUAUGCAGGAAGGACCCACAGCCGACAGCGGUGGGGAGGGCGAGGCAGGUUGGCUAGACUGCGUGGCCCCGCACAGCAGGGGCCCAGCACACGUAGAGGACUGCUGGCAUUGGAGCUCGGCCAGGGCGCCUAAAAUUCCCUCUAGUUCUUAGAUUUCCUGUUAUGGAUGACAAAUGUGAAAUUUUUACCUUUAAUUAUAAAAGUAAUCUGCAUAGAGGUAAAAAUUCAAGCCAUGGAAAAGGUGAUAAAGUGGAAGUAAAAUCCCUCUCCCCUCACCCAUCCCAGCCCUAAUACAGAGAGGUUGUUUGCUCACAUUUCUUAGCAUCUUUCUGGAAAUUUCCAUCCACAAAUGAGACUUGUCACUGCUGACAUUGCCCUUCAGUGAGCAGGACCAUAACUCGUGGUUCCGUUUUCCCCGGACUUCUCGAGCUCCUGCCUUCGGCACAGCAGGAAACGUGUGACCGUGAGGCCAAGGGGACGUGUCCCCUGGCUGCACCUUGGACAGGGCUGCCAGGGCAGGGAGGGGGACCUGGGAGGGAGGGAGGCCCGGAGCCGCCGCAGGUGUUUCUUUUACUGGACGCGGCCCAUGGCCGCGUUCAGGUUUUGCUUUUCACCUUUGAGUCUGUGAGAAAAUGAGUAGGAAAAAGCAAAA
This is a long non-coding RNA of Suricata suricatta (meerkat), 13460 nucleotides long. RefSeq lists it as uncharacterized. The transcript has 2 exons. NCBI's taxonomy places the organism in Eukaryota, Metazoa, Chordata, Mammalia, Carnivora, Herpestidae. The record is from RefSeq and is a predicted model, not a curated record.